AUCCCGAUUGAUCUAUACUCUGAUACCGAUCGAUUCCAAUUGCUAUUUGAUCAUUAACGUUAUCCAUGGGGGUGAUACGUCACAGCUAAAUAAUAUCACGUAUUGUAACGUUUGGAUUUUAAUUGGAAAAAUGGGAUCCGCAGUUAUCUCUAUAUGAAAAAUAAAACAACAGGAAAAGAUCGAUAAAUGAGCAAUUAUUUUUCUUUUACAGUAAAGGUUAUAUCGCCUGCACCUUUUCCCCCAUCGAUUUAUUUCAUCUCAUUUUUGCUGUGAAAAGUAAUUUCCAGGUAAUCCAUAUGUGAUGGUAAAUUUUUCAUUUUUCGUAAACGACGUUCUGCAGUGAAGAGUAACGUGAGGAAGACGAGGUUCGCUUGUUCCUGUAGAAAGAAAUUGAAGAUUUUCGGAUGGGGAAGAAUUUUUUUUCCUUUAUUUCUCCAUUUCGCACACAGUCCGCGAUGUAUCUGACGAUUGAUUCAAUAAAUUAUGAACCCCGCGUCAUGAUAAUUUGGCACAAUUUGAAUCGUACUCGAUUUCAGUAGAUUUUCAUCCAUAAUUCAUAAUUCACAGUAGGCAGGCGUUAAUCCCUAAUUCUUUUGUAGCCGUGAUUUUAAUAAUUAUGGUAAAGCCUCCCGCUCUUGUCUACCAUAAUGUGGAGGGAAUUGUUCAUCCGUUGUUUAAACCGCUUAUAGAAUAUCCUGUACCAUCUGAAAAUCCACACCCUGCAGCCACCGCAUUUCUAAUUAGGAUUCGCUUCGUUUAUGUAAUCUCGCAAGAUAUGUAAUAUGCAUAUAUAUAUCUAUUCCCCCCCAUCUGGGGUUUCAUUUUAACACCGUAUCAAAUACCAAGAUAAAAACUGAAGAUUGCACGCCGUGUCUAUGGUUAACGUGCAACUUUAGAUUUAUUUUCUCUUGUCACACCAACGAUCACGUCGUACGUAUGCAAUGUCUACAUACACAUUGCACAUAUAGGUGCAUAUAUAUGCUAUAUGAUGUUUGCCAACCACGACAAAUAUUUGCCUAAAAGAUACAGAUAUAGAGAUUCCUCUACGUGAUAGAAAUUUAUGGACGGUUGGGUUUUCCAAUACUUUCAACGGUUCGCGAUUUUUUUUUCAUUUUUUUUAUUUUAUGCUCCCUUGUUUUUUUUCUCCAACUCUUUUUUAUUUUUAUGUCAUCACAGCUAUCACGAACUAUCGCUACAUCAGCACUGUCGUCGGCCCCAACGGCAUCAGGUAAGAGAGAAGAAAAAAAAAAAGAACUAGACAUAAGGGUGUACUAUACAUACGGUCUGCAUGUACCUGGAUAUACGUACAUCCUCCAGCUAAGGGUGAAAACUAUUUUCUCGACGUCAUAAAUACCGCUUUAAAUGACCUGUAACGAACGUAUAGAGUGACGGCGGAGACGACAGCCCCUUCUCCUUAAAUCGGCCGUAUUACGUAUGAUACCUGAAGAUAUUUUUCUACUUUUAUUGCCCGCUGCAGGGCGGGCAUGUGGAUGGAAUCGCUGAUAGAAAAGUUAUGACUCCGGGCAUACCCGGCUACCUAGGGGGUGCGGAGCAAACUGUAAUGGCAAGACCUUUCCACUGGGUCAACGAUUUGUUCGACAUGUCAAGCGAAUUUGAGUGCACAGCUGCGGAGAUUACAUCGAGAGCUAUAAGAAACCAGAGAGACGUAAUCAAUGGGGAGGGUCGGAGAAAAUUGAAAAAAAAUACGCCCUUACGCUGAUAACGAGAAAUGGUAGGACGACGUUUCGCAAGACUUUGGCACUCGCCAAAAGGACGCAAGUCACCAAAAAUCAAAAUAAUCGAAUUCUUCAAUCUCAUGAUAGAACUGC
Long non-coding RNA from Athalia rosae (coleseed sawfly), 1829 nucleotides. RefSeq lists it as uncharacterized. The transcript is spliced from 3 exons. NCBI's taxonomy places the organism in Eukaryota, Metazoa, Arthropoda, Insecta, Hymenoptera, Athaliidae. The record is from RefSeq and is a predicted model, not a curated record.